Molecule: ribosomal RNA, 463 nt
Filed under: uncultured bacterium
Lineage: Bacteria
Description: bacterial SSU rRNA
Rfam family: Bacterial small subunit ribosomal RNA
Source: RNAcentral
AUUGAACGCUGGCGGCAUGCCUUACACAUGCAAGUCGAACGGCAGCACGGGAGCAAUCCUGGUGGCGAGUGGCGAACGGGUGAGUAAUAUAUCGGAACGUGCCCAGUCGUGGGGGAUAACGCAGCGAAAGCUGUGCUAAUACCGCAUACGAUCUAUGGAUGAAAGCGGGGGAUCGCAAGACCUCGCGCGAUUGGAGCGGCCGAUAUCAGAUUAGGUAGUUGGUGGGGUAAAGGCCCACCAAGCCGACGAUCGGUAGGGGAUCUGAGAGGAUAAUCCCCCACACUGGCACUGAGAUACGGGCCAGACUCCUACGGGAGGCAGCGAGUAGGGAAUAUUGGGCGAAUGGUCGCAAGACUCGACCCACGCCAUGCCGCGUGCAGGAAGAAGGCGCUCAGCGUUAGUAACUGUCUUUUAUCAAGGAAAGAAAAGUUCUUGCGAGAACAAUUGACGGUACUUGAAGAAU